UUGGGAAGAUUCCCCUGGAGAAGGAAAUAGCAACCCACUCCAGUAUUCUUUUCUGGAAAAUCCUAUGGACAAAGGAGCUUGGUGGGCUGCAGUCCAUGGGGUCACAAAGAGUCAGACAUGACUCAAUGAUGGAGCAACAUGAAACCCAGAUGAGUGAAAGAGAGGAAAAACUUUAUCCCUGGUCAGCUUGAAGUAUUGCUCUGUAAACUGAUCCAUCCUGCUGAUUUUUCAAAGUCUGCAGAAGCCUGAGUGGCCUGUUGCACAGUCUACCCAAGGGACAUGGACUUGGUCAUCCAUGGCACAGAAGAGAUCCGACCUCAAAUCGAGAUAAAGGAGGAUUCUUUACCAGCUGAGCUGCCUGGGAAGCCCACAGAACUGAUUCCCAGUAUCAAAAAGGUUGGGGACCACUGCUGCAAAGGAUCCAUUCAGAAAUAAGGUGAGACUGACAGGUUUAAGGAACUAUUCUUUAACUUGAGUGAAAAAACUAGACAAUAGGUUACAAAACAUUAUAAAAUA
Molecule: long non-coding RNA, 516 nt
Filed under: Capra hircus (goat)
Lineage: Eukaryota; Metazoa; Chordata; Mammalia; Artiodactyla; Bovidae
Description: lncRNA (ENSCHIG00010015983.1)
Source: RNAcentral